UUUUAUAGUAAAGUUGUUAUUUGAGUAGUAGUAGUGAUUCUUGAAACUUAAAGAAUUUGGCGGUAUAUUAAUCUAUUUAGAGGAACCUGUCCUGUAAUCGAUAGUCCACGUAAAUUUGACCUAAACUUGAAAUUCAGCUUGUAUAUCGCUGUCGUAAGAUUAUUUUAUGAGAAAUUUUUCAAUAAUAAAUUUUUAUUUAUGUCAAGUCAAGGUGCAGUAGAUGUUUAGGGUUGAGAUGGGUUACAAUAUAUGAAUGUAGACGAAUAAGGAUUUGUAAAGUUUGUUGAAGGUGGAUUUAAUUGUAAUAUAGAAUUAUUUAUUUUAUAUGGAAAAGUACUAAUAUAUGC
Molecule: ribosomal RNA, 347 nt
Filed under: Thereuonema tuberculata
Lineage: Eukaryota; Metazoa; Arthropoda; Chilopoda; Scutigeromorpha; Scutigeridae
Description: partial 12S ribosomal RNA
Source: RNAcentral